RNAcentral lists this ribosomal RNA (2212 nucleotides) under human gut metagenome. RNAcentral's name for it is "bacterial LSU rRNA". It matches the Rfam family "Bacterial large subunit ribosomal RNA", at positions 266 to 2471 of the family's 2925-position model. The record is from RNAcentral.
AGCCCAAACCAGCUGACUUCGGUCAACUGGGGUUGAGGACUGACAUAAUUUAAAAAUGGUCUAACUGAAUGACUUGGGAAAGUCAAGCAUAGAAGGUGAAACUCCUGUAAGUGAAAGACUGCAUUUAAAGGUCAGAAUCCAGAGUACCACGAGACACGAGGAACCUUGUGGGAAGCAGGGGGGACCACCCUCCAAGGCAAAAUACUCCUUGGCGACCGAUAGCGUAUAGUACCGUGAGGGAAAGGUGAAAAGAACCCCGGGAGGGGAGUGAAAAGAACCUGAAACCGUAUGUCUACAAGCAGUUGAAGCACUAUAAAUGUGCGACAGCGUGCCUAUUGAAGAAUGAACCGGCGAGUUACAGUAUCUAGCGAGGUUAAGUGGAAAACACGGAGCCGAAGCGAAAGCGAGUCUUAAUAGGGCGAAAGUUAGAUAUUGUAGACCCGAAACCGCAGUGAUCUAUCCAUGACCAGGUUGAAGCUCAGGUAAAAUUGAGUGGAGGACCGAACCCGUGAACGUUGAAAAGUUUUGGGAUGAGUUGUGGAUAGGGGUGAAAUGCCAAUCGAACGCGGAGAUAGCUGGUUCUCCCCGAAAUAGCUUUAGGGCUAGCCUCAAGGUAAAAAGUAUAGACGGUAGAGCUCUGAUCGGGCUAGGGGGCGUAAAGCUUACCGAACCCAGUCAAACUGCGAAUGGCUAUACUUGUACUUGGGAGUCAGACUGCGAGUGAUAAGACCCGUAGUCAAAAGGGAAACAGCCCAGAACGCCGACUAAGGUCCCCAAUGCUGUGCUAAGUGGCAAAGGAUGUAAAGCUUCACAAACAACCAGGAUGUUGGCUCAGAAGCAGCCACCAUUUAAAGAGUGCGUAAUAGCUCACUGGUCGAGAGGCUUUGCGCCGAAAAUGUCCGGGGCUAAAGCACAGAACCGAAGUCGCGUCAGCAUACUAAGUAUGUUGGGUAGGGGAGCGUUCUAUACACGACGAAGGUAUACCGAAAGGAGUGCUGGAGAGUAUAGAAGUGAGAAUGCCGGUAUGAGUAGCGAAAAGGAAGGUAAGAAUCCUUCCCACCGAAAGCCUAAGGUUUCCUGAGCAACGAUCGUCGACUCAGGGUAAGUCGGGACCUAAGCCGAGGCAAAGAGCGUAGGCGAUGGACAACAGGUAAAGAUUCCUGUACCACCGAUAAUUGUUUGAGCAAUGGAGUGACGCAGAAGGAAGGUUAAGCGGGCAGAUGGAAACGCCUGUCUAAGCUGGUAGGGUGAGAUGUAGGCAAAUCCGCAUCUUAAAAACCUGAGAAGUGACGGAAAGAUGUAAGCAAUUACAUUGAAUUUAACUGGACCACGCUGCCAAGAAAAGCUUCUAGUGAGAUUAAAGGUGCCCGUACCGCAAACCGACACAGGUAGGCGGGGAGAGAAUCCUAAGGUGCGCGGGAAAACCCUCGUUAAGGAACUCGGCAAAAUGUAUCCGUAACUUCGGGAAAAGGAUAGCCAUUUUUGGUGAAGCUACAAGCUAGCAGAGCUGAAGAAGGCGACAGAAGAGAGGCCCAAGCGACUGUUUACCACAAACACAGGUGCAUGCGAAAGAGAAAUCUGAAGUAUAUGUGCUGACACCUGCCCGGUGCUGGAAGGUUAAGAGGAGGGUUUAGAAGUAAUUCGAAGAUCUGAAUUGAAGCCCCAGUAAACGGCGGCCGUAACUAUAACGGUCCUAAGGUAGCGAAAUUCCUUGUCGGGUAAGUUCCGACCCGCACGAAAGGUGUAACGACUUGGGCACUGUCUCAACGAGGGACCCGGUGAAAUUGAAAUACCUGUGAAGAUGCAGGUUACCCGCGACUGGACAGAAAGACCCCAUGGAGCUUUACUGCAACCUGACAUUGGUUUUUGGUAAAUAAUGUACAGGAUAGGUGGGAGACUGAGAAUAUGGUACGCUAGUAUCAUAGGAGUCAAUGUUGGGAUACCACCCUUUAUUUACUGAAAAUCUAACUGAAUGAAUAACAAACAUCAAGACAGUGUCAGGCGGGCAGUUUGACUGGGGCGGUCGCCUCCGAAAGAGUAACGGAGGCGCCCAAAGGUUCCCUCAGCGCGGCAAGAAAUCGCGCGAAGAGUGUAAAGGCAGAAGGGAGCUUGACUGCGAGACGGACAGGUCGAGCAGGUACGAAAGUAGGGCUUAGUGAUCCGGUGGUACCGAGUGGAAGGGCCAUCGCUCAACGGAUAAAAGCUACCCUGG